CUGAUCCAGCGAUGCCGCGUGAGUGAAGAAGGCCUUCGGGUUGUAAAGCUCUUUCGCAGGGAAAGAAAAAACGCGGGCGAACAGGCCGCGUCCAUGACGGUACCCUGAGAAGAAGCGCCGGCUAACUUCGUGCCAGCAGCCGCGGUAAUACGGGGGGCGCAAGCGUUAAUCGGAAUUACUGGGCGUAAAGCGUGCGUAGGCGGCCGAGCAAGUCAGAUGUGAAAGCCCCGGGCUCAACCCGGGAAUUGCGUCCGAAACUGCCCGGCUAGAGUUCGGCAGAGGAAGGUGGAAUUCCGCGUGUAGCGGUGAAAUGCGUAGAGAUGCGGAAGAACACUAAUGGCGAAGGCAUCCUUCUGGGCCGACACUGACGCUGAGUCACGAAAGCGUGGGGAGCAAACAGGAUUAGAUACCCUGGUAGUCCACGCCCUAAACGAUGCCCGCUAGCUGUCGGGGGGAUUUCCCCCCGGUAGCGAAGCUAACGCGUUAAGCGGGCCGCCUGGGGAAUACGGUCGCAAGAUUAAAACUC
Molecule: ribosomal RNA, 526 nt
Filed under: uncultured bacterium
Lineage: Bacteria
Description: bacterial SSU rRNA
Rfam family: Bacterial small subunit ribosomal RNA
Source: RNAcentral